GACAGAGGUGCCAAGCGUUAGGCGGAAUCACUGGGCUUAAAGCGUGUGUAGGCGGAUGCCUAAGUACCUUGUGAAAUCCCACGGCUCAACCGUGGAACUGCUGGGUAUACUGGGCGUCUUGGGUCACCUAGGGGUUGCCGGAACAAAUGGUGGAGCGGUGAAAUGCGUAGAUAUCAUUUGGAACGCCAACGGCGAAAGCAGGCAACUGGGGGGUGUACCGACGCUGAGACACGAAAGCCAGGGGAGCGAACGGGG
This 255-nucleotide ribosomal RNA is filed under the name uncultured bacterium. RNAcentral's name for it is "partial 16S ribosomal RNA". It matches the Rfam family "Bacterial small subunit ribosomal RNA", at positions 524 to 777 of the family's 1533-position model. The record is from RNAcentral.